GCGGGGGGCCUAACACAUGCAGUCGAGCGGUAGCACAGAGAGCUUGCUCUCGGGUGACGAGCGGCGGACGGGUGAGUAAUGUCUGGGAAACUGCCUGAUGGAGGGGGAUAACUACUGGAAACGGUAGCUAAUACCGCAUAACGUCGCAAGACCAAAGUGGGGGACCUUCGGGCCUCAUGCCAUCAGAUGUGCCCAGAUGGGAUUAGCUGGUAGGUGGGGUAACGGCUCACCUAGGCGACGAUCCCUAGCUGGUCUGAGAGGAUGACCAGCCACACUGGAACUGAGACACGGUCCAGACUCCUACGGGAGGCAGCAGUGGGGAAUAUUGCACAAUGGGCGCAAGCCUGAUGCAGCCAUGCCGCGUGUGUGAAGAAGGCCUUCGGGUUGUAAAGCACUUUCAGCGGGGAGGAAGGCGGUGAGGUUAAUAACCUCAUCGAUUGACGUUACCCGCAGAAGAAGCACCGGCUAACUCCGUGCCAGCAGCCGCGGUAAUACGGAGGGUGCAAGCGUUAAUCGGAAUUACUGGGCGUAAAGCGCACGCAGGCGGUCUGUCAAGUCGGAUGUGAAAUCCCCGGGCUCAACCUGGGAACUGCAUUCGAAACUGGCAGGCUAGAGUCUUGUAGAGGGGGGUAGAAUUCCAGGUGUAGCGGUGAAAUGCGUAGAGAUCUGGAGGAAUACCGGUGGCGAAGGCGGCCCCCUGGACAAAGACUGACGCUCAGGUGCGAAAGCGUGGGGAGCAAACAGGAUUAGAUACCCUGGUAGUCCACGCUGUAAACGAUGUCGAUUUGGAGGUUGUGCCCUUGAGGCGUGGCUUCCGGAGCUAACGCGUUAAAUCGACCGCCUGGGGAGUACGGCCGCAAGGUUAAAACUCAAAUGAAUUGACGGGGGCCCGCACAAGCGGUGGAGCAUGUGGUUUAAUUCGAUGCAACGCGAAGAACCUUACCUGGUCUUGACAUCCACAGAACUUAGCAGAGAUGGUUUGGUGCCUUCGGGAACUGUGAGACAGGUGCUGCAUGGCUGUCGUCAGCUCGUGUUGUGAAAUGUUGGGUUAAGUCCCGCAACGAGCGCAACCCUUAUCCUUUGUUGCCAGCGGUUAGGCCGGGAACUCAAAGGAGACUGCCAGUGAUAAACUGGAGGAAGGUGGGGAUGACGUCAAGUCAUCAUGGCCCUUACGACCAGGGCUACACACGUGCUACAAUGGCAUAUACAAAGAGAAGCGACCUCGCGAGAGCAAGCGGACCUCAUAAAGUAUGUCGUAGUCCGGAUUGGAGUCUGCAACUCGACUCCAUGAAGUCGGAAUCGCUAGUAAUCGUAGAUCAGAAUGCUACGGUGAAUACGUUCCCGGGCCUUGUACACACCGCCCGUCACACCAUGGGAGUGGGUUGCAAAAGAAGUAGGUAG
This 1401-nucleotide ribosomal RNA is filed under the name Klebsiella sp. enrichment culture clone S2. RNAcentral's name for it is "16S ribosomal RNA". It matches the Rfam family "Bacterial small subunit ribosomal RNA". Lineage: Bacteria; Pseudomonadati; Pseudomonadota; Gammaproteobacteria; Enterobacterales; Enterobacteriaceae. The record is from RNAcentral.